Long non-coding RNA from Erinaceus europaeus (western European hedgehog), 573 nucleotides. RefSeq lists it as uncharacterized. Lineage: Eukaryota; Metazoa; Chordata; Mammalia; Eulipotyphla; Erinaceidae. The transcript is spliced from 3 exons. The record is from RefSeq and is a predicted model, not a curated record.
CUGUGAGAAUCAAUCAUCUCCUUCCAGAAGUCAUCGUUCAGCAGCUGUGGGACCUUGGCUAUUUUUAUCUCCCCCAGGAAACCAGUGUCCAAGGACGUGCUGGGCCACCUUUGGGGACUUGAGCUGUGGGUUGUCAGGGCAGCUGAGCCUCCACCUCAAGGUUAAAUCCAAAGUGCCUGACCUGGAAUAGGACAGCAUUUGAUCCUCCACUCCUGCAACUGGAGGAACCAGGAUGGUGUAAGAGCAGGUGAUGUGAGCCCUUUUAUAUUUGGGGAGGUCCAUCUGAUACCCUAAACAAGCUUCUUCAGCAUAGUCCUCUGAGCCACCAAGUUGCAGAUGCUACCAUGAUGCCAUCCUGACCUCUCUGGACAGACAACCUCACCAAUAUGUCCUGGUACCACACCUCUCCAGAGCCCUGCCCAACUAGGGAAAUAUAGAAACAGGCUGGGACUAUGGAUUGACCUGCCAACAUCCAUGUUCAGCAGAGAAGCAAUUACAGAAGCUAGACCCUCCACCUUCUGCACUCCAUAAGGAAAACUCCCAGAAAGGGAUAAAGAACAGGGAAGCUUCCAA